This 369-nucleotide long non-coding RNA is filed under the name Pogona vitticeps (central bearded dragon). RNAcentral's name for it is "lncRNA (ENSPVIG00000006627.1)". The record is from RNAcentral. Lineage: Eukaryota; Metazoa; Chordata; Lepidosauria; Squamata; Agamidae.
AUGGAAGAGCUGAGACACCACCAGACAGAUGUCAGAAGAAAACUCAGGAAAAGGGUAGAGCAGCCGCCCUCCACAGUGAGGAAUUGGUGGAAUUUUGGCAUGAUGCUUGGGACCUAUCCUGGCUCAUCUCUUCUUUCUGGAGGAACAGAAACAGUAUCUGUGCAACCUGACCUGGACAGUGCCAAGCUGCGGAGAGACGCUGGCCGCUUCCCUCUCUCGGACCUCUCUCUGAACCUCAAGGGUAUAGUGGUGACCUUUGAGGACGUAGCUGUGUAUUUUACGGAGAAGGAGUGGACUCUGCUGGAUCCGGCCAAAGGGCUCUCCACAGGGACGUCAUGGAGGAGAAUUGGGCCAAUCUGGUCUCCCUAG